UACGGAGGGAGCUAGCGUUGUUCGGAAUUACUGGGCGUAAAGCGCACGUAGGCGGAUUGGAAAGUUGGGGGUGAAAUCCCGGGGCUCAACCCCGGAACUGCCUUCAAAACUCCCAGUCUGGAGGUCGAGAGAGGUGAGUGGAAUUCCGAGUGUAGAGGUGAAAUUCGUAGAUAUUCGGAGGAACACCAGUGGCGAAGGCGGCUCACUGGCUCGAUACUGACGCUGAGGUGCGAAAGCGUGGGGAGCAAACAGG
RNAcentral lists this ribosomal RNA (253 nucleotides) under uncultured bacterium. Its description in RNAcentral is "partial 16S ribosomal RNA". It matches the Rfam family "Bacterial small subunit ribosomal RNA", at positions 524 to 776 of the family's 1533-position model. The record is from RNAcentral.